GCCUGGAUAGCUCAGUUGGUAAAGAAUCAGGCUUUUAAUUUAAGGGCCUGGGGUUCAAUUCCCUGUUCAGGAA
RNAcentral lists this transfer RNA (73 nucleotides) under Loxodonta africana (African savanna elephant). It matches the Rfam family "tRNA". Rfam says of the family: Transfer RNA (tRNA) molecules are approximately 80 nucleotides in length. Their secondary structure includes four short double-helical elements and three loops (D, anti-codon, and T loops). Lineage: Eukaryota; Metazoa; Chordata; Mammalia; Proboscidea; Elephantidae. The record is from Rfam by way of RNAcentral.